CGCCUCUUGCAUACCAAAUAUAAGAGGUCCCGCCUGCCCUGUGACUAUACGUUUAACGGCCGCGGUAUUUUAACCGUGCGAAGGUAGCGCAAUCACUUGUCUUUUAAAUGAAGACCUGUAUGAAUGGCAUCACGAGGGCUUAGCUGUCUCCUCUUUCAAGUCAAUGAAAUUGAUCUGCCCGUGCAGAAGCGGACAUAAGAACAUAAGACGAGAAGACCCUAUGGAGCUUUAGACACCCGGCAGACCAUGUCAAGUAACCCUGUUAUUGGAUUAAAACAAAACGGCUCCUGGCCCACAUGUCUUCGGUUGGGGCGACCACGGGGGAAAAUAUAGCCCCCAUGCGGACUAAGGGUAACACCCUUAUAACCAUGAGCUACAGCUCUAAGUCUCAGAAAUUCUGACCAAAAAGAUCCGACACCCGUCGAUCAACGGACCAAGUUACCCUAGGGAUAACAGCGCAAUCCUCUCCCAGAGUCCCUAUCGACGAGGGGGUUUACGACCUCGAUGUUGGAUCAGGGCAUCCUAAUGGUGCAACCGCUAUUAAGGGUUCGUUUGUUCAACGAUUAAAGUCCU
This 573-nucleotide ribosomal RNA is filed under the name Esox masquinongy (muskellunge). Its description in RNAcentral is "partial large subunit ribosomal RNA". It matches the Rfam family "Bacterial large subunit ribosomal RNA", at positions 1817 to 2597 of the family's 2925-position model. The record is from RNAcentral. Lineage: Eukaryota; Metazoa; Chordata; Actinopteri; Esociformes; Esocidae.